GAUGAACGCUGGCGGCGCGCCUAACACAUGCAAGUCGAACGAUUAAAGCACCUUCGGGUGGGUAUAAAGUGGCGAACGGCUGAGUAACACGUGGGCAACCUGCCCCUUUCAUUGGGAUAGCCACGGGAAACCGUGGAUAUUACCGAAUACUUCGACACUUCCGCAUGGAAGACGCGAGAAAGCUCCGGCGGUGAGGGAUGGGCCCGCGGCCUGUUAGCUUGUUGGUGGGGUAACGGCCUACCAAGGCAAUGAUGGGUAGCUGGGUUGAGAGAGCGACCAGCCAGAUUGGGACUGAGACACGGCCCAGACUCCUACGGGAGGCAGCAGUGGGGAAUCUUGCACAAUGGGCGAAAGCCUGAUGCAGCGACGCCGCGUGCGGGAUGAAGGCCUUCGGGUUGUAAACCGCUUUCAGCAGGGACGAGGCGAGAGUGACGGUACCUGCAGAAGAAGCCCCGGCUAACUACGUG
This 467-nucleotide ribosomal RNA is filed under the name uncultured bacterium. RNAcentral describes it as "partial 16S ribosomal RNA". It matches the Rfam family "Bacterial small subunit ribosomal RNA", at positions 28 to 507 of the family's 1533-position model. The record is from RNAcentral.